GUUGCAUCCUCCUCACGAGCCUCCCGCGACGGGAUUAGCCACAUUUUACCAACGAAGGCCUCCACCCUCCCGGAAGACAGCAACUGGCCCAAGGUGACACGGCUGGGAAGGAAGAGUGCAGGGAUUUGAAUCCAGGACUUUUUUUCUCUUUUACUCUACUUCGCGUGGCCCCUGGCUGCUAGGGUGCUGGGGAACCUGCCCCAGUGCGACCUGUGCGGUGGCUCCGUCCUGGUUGUGCCUCCAGGGGACCGGCUGCCGUGAUGCAGACGCCUCGGAAACGAAGACAUCUCCAACCGGUCAGUUGGGGUUGGGGCCGGACUGGCUCCUGUUCCUAUAGGAAGGUCCAGCACUCACUUCAGCUGAAGGGGGAAGGAAUCCACCGGGGAAAUGCCAUUCUCCGGUCCUCGAACCUGAGAAACUGGUUAUGA
RNAcentral lists this long non-coding RNA (428 nucleotides) under Ursus maritimus (polar bear). RNAcentral's name for it is "lncRNA (ENSUMAG00000002484.1)". Lineage: Eukaryota; Metazoa; Chordata; Mammalia; Carnivora; Ursidae. The record is from RNAcentral.